GGGGUUGUAGCUCAGUGGUAGAGCACUUGCCUGGCAUGUGUGAAGCACAAGGUUCGAUUCUCAGCACCA
RNAcentral lists this transfer RNA (69 nucleotides) under Urocitellus parryii (Arctic ground squirrel). Its description in RNAcentral is "Spermophilus parryii (Arctic ground squirrel) tRNA". It matches the Rfam family "tRNA". Rfam says of the family: Transfer RNA (tRNA) molecules are approximately 80 nucleotides in length. Their secondary structure includes four short double-helical elements and three loops (D, anti-codon, and T loops). The record is from Rfam by way of RNAcentral. Lineage: Eukaryota; Metazoa; Chordata; Mammalia; Rodentia; Sciuridae. RNAcentral also lists the same sequence under 1 other name.